AUAUGUUGUAACUUGAGACUUUUACAAUAUGCUUUGGCCAAGAUUCAAUUUGAAAGAUUUAGGUUAUUUACAAUCCAUGGACUAUAAAUUGUCAUAUGAUUUUGAACCAAUUGUAUCGCAAAUUGGUCAAUUUGUUCAUUUUCAUUUUGAUAUUUUGGUCUCAUUUUAAGAUAUUGUUUAUAAUAAAGGCCUUUCAUACAUAUCCAUAUUACAUACACAAUUUCCAAGCACUUA
RNAcentral lists this small nuclear RNA (234 nucleotides) under Cryptosporidium parvum. The record is from RNAcentral. Lineage: Eukaryota; Apicomplexa; Conoidasida; Eucoccidiorida; Cryptosporidiidae.